GACGAACGCUGGCGGCGUGCUUAACACAUGCAAGUCGAACGAAAAGAGGGAAAGAGCUUGCUCUUUCCGGAAUUGAGUGGCAAACGGGUGAGUAACACGUAAACAACCUGCCUUCAGGAUGGGGACAACAGACGGAAACGACUGCUAAUACCGAAUAAGUUCCAAGGGCCGCAUGGCCCAUGGAAGAAAAGGUGGCCUCUACCUGUAAGCUAUCGCCUGAAGAGGGGUUUGCGUCUGAUUAGCUGGUUGGAGGGGUAACGGCCCACCAAGGCGACGAUCAGUAGCCGGUCUGAGAGGAUGAACGGCCACACUGGGACUGAGACACGGUCCAGACUCCUACGGGAGGCAGCAGUGGGGAAUCUUCCGCAAUGGGCGAAAGCCUGACAGAGCAACGCCGCGUGAGUGAUGACGGCCUUCGGGUUGUAAAACUCUGUGAUCCGGGACGAAAAGGCAGAGUGCGAAGAACAAACUGCAUUGACGGUACCGGAAAAGCAAGCCACGGCUAACUACGUG
RNAcentral lists this ribosomal RNA (513 nucleotides) under uncultured bacterium. Its description in RNAcentral is "partial 16S ribosomal RNA". It matches the Rfam family "Bacterial small subunit ribosomal RNA", at positions 28 to 507 of the family's 1533-position model. The record is from RNAcentral.